AUAAUAAUAAUAAGUACCAGAAAAACCGCACUACAAACUAGAGCUGUUUACAAACUAAAACCGCUAUCAGGACCUCAAGAUUGAACUUCAAAGACUCUGGCAGAAACCAGUGCAGGUGGUCCCGGUGGUGAUGGGCACACUGGGUGCCGUGCCAAAAGAUCUCAGCCGGCAUUUGGAAACAAUAGACAUUGACAAAAUUACGAUCUGCCAACUGCAAAAGGCCACCCUACUGGGAUCUGCGCGCAUCAUCCGAAAAUACAUCACACAGUCCUAAACACUUGGGAAGUGUUCGACUUGUAAUUUUGUGAUAUGAAAUCCAGCAUGUCUAUCUUGUUUGCUGUGUCAUACAAUAAAAUAAUAAUAAGUAAUUUUGGCUCCCAAAGUUGGAUAUAAGUAAGAUAUAUAGUCAUUCCCUGAUGCAUUAUGGAAGAUGCCUUUGGGAGGUCUCUAAAAAUGUCCCUGUGUACUUAUGCAAGGCUUGCCUGGUCUUGUUAUUUAAUUUCACAAUUACAGUAGAGUCUCGUUUAUCCAACAUAAACAUUGGAUAAGCAAAAAUGUUGGAUAAUAAGGAGGGAUUAAGGAAAAGCCCAUUAUACAUCAAAUUAUGUUAUGAUUUAACAAAUUAAGCACCAAAAUAUUAUGUUUUACAACAAAUCGACAGAAAAAGCAGUUCAAUACAUGGUAGCGUAAUGUAGUAAUUCCUUACGAAAAACAUCGCAAUGUAUUGAAAACAUUGACUACAAAACAUUGACUACUAAAAGGCAGACUGCGUUGGAUAAUAUAGAAUGUUGGACGAAUGAAGGUUGGAUAAGCGAGACUCUACUGUAGUUAGCUAUGGGGAAACAAAUUGACUAUCUCUUAUUUUCUGUUUGUGGUGUAGGACCCUAUUCUUACUCUUUCCAUGCUGUUUCUAUCUCCAGACCCAAUACUUUUGCUGAAGAAAUGAUGGCAAGGAACACAUCUACUUCUUCAAAUAUGAGCUACACCUGCAUGUUAUCCCAGCAGUCUUACAGACAGUUCAAGAUACAACCUGUUGGAAUCAUCACAGCGCAUGUUUCCCAGAUGGCACCAUAUCAACUCUGCUAUCAACAUACCAUGUUAUCUGGGUUAUCUUCUUAGUCAAUUCAGCUUAAAUUUCAGUACUUCAGUACUUCGCGGUUCACUUUUCACAGAUUCGCUGCCUUCCAGUUUUUCAAUAAACUCUAAAAGACUAUUAUAAAUCAUAAAAAAUUACAAUUUACAGCCUAAGAAAGGGAGGAAGGAGAAGCCAAAGGAAGAGAAAAGGAGCCCAAGUGGCAAUGGGAGGAAAAGGAGGCGAUUUAUCAACACAGGAUUGGUUGAUAUAGACUUAACAUAAUGUAUAAUUACUAAAACAAUGUAUAAAUAUUAAAAUAAAUAUAGUGUCCCUA
This is a long non-coding RNA of Anolis carolinensis (green anole), 1409 nucleotides long. RefSeq lists it as uncharacterized. Lineage: Eukaryota; Metazoa; Chordata; Lepidosauria; Squamata; Anolidae. The record is from RefSeq and is a predicted model, not a curated record. The transcript has 2 exons.